This is a long non-coding RNA of Bos taurus (domestic cattle), 2251 nucleotides long. The record is from Ensembl. NCBI's taxonomy places the organism in Eukaryota, Metazoa, Chordata, Mammalia, Artiodactyla, Bovidae.
AUUAACAUUCGACAGCUGUGCGUAUUCACACUGCUGAACUCAUAUUACACAAUAUUAUCAGACAUUCGCCUACGCAGAACAGCAGUAUUGGCCCACCGGGUGAUUCACAAGGUUCCAACACAAGCCGCCAGAGAAAGGGAGCUAUCAAGAUUUUGGUGAUGAGAGAAACUGUAGCACAUGGUAGCAAAGGAAGACAGACCGGGUAUCUUUUCAGGCUGGAUCAAGGAAAAACUUUGGCAGAAUGAGACAUGAUUUUCCUUUAUUUGAUAUGUUGCAGGUCUAUAGAUCUCCAUGCAGUUUGUUCAGUGGCUUGAACAAUGCAGUGAGUAUUCCAACCCUGAAGAACUGGGAAAGGAGAGAGAUGAAGAAAUCCAGGAGGGAGCCAGGUGAGUUCACUCUGAAUAAUAGAUUCUCUUUGGUAACAAAACCACGGCAAGGGCUAGGGCUCACCGAGGUCUGGAGAUAAUAAGCACCACCAACCUAGAUUUCCUCCUAUGCCACCUUGACCUUGUCUCUUCUAGGAUCAAGAUCCUUCAAAGCUUCCCCAUUGUCUGAGCCAGUGGCCUCUAACAUUAAGUGUGUGUGCUCAUCUGUUGGGCUACAGAAAAUAAUUAGAAAAAAAAUUUUAAAUAAAGAUAAUUAGGAUUAUCUUUAAUAAUUAUCUGGCCUCUGCUUUAAUUCUCUUCUUGGAAAGGUUGUAUAAUGUACACCAUUUAUUAGUAUAUCCAUGAUGAGUAUUUAUUUCAACAAGGGGUGCUCAAAAAAUGUCAUAUUAUUGGAUUGUAUGAUCAAAACUGUUUGGAAAUAACUGGUCUAAGUAAGAAGAUACUAGCCUGAUGUUUAGGAGCCUCUGCAGUUUACCUAUCUGAGCUUCUGUUCCACUAUUUCACUUCUCUGACCACUCACUACAAUAAAACAGAUUCAGCCAUCCAGUGAGUCCUGGGUGUGUGUGUGUGUGUGCGUGUGUGUAUUUACAAUUUCUUGCUUUUUUAUCUUGGCUAGAAAUCAGCAGCUGACACAAUGCUUACCUGGAUACAUUGAGCCUCCAUCCACUGUCCUACCAGCAAUUCCAGUCUUUUCCAGGAUACUCCUUCCCAAAUAGGCUCUCGAAGGGUAACCACUAUGUUCGUAAUUAAUGAAAUACAACCUCCUGGGGAGAGGUAGUGACUCAGUUCUCUCUUCUUGAACGAUGGAGAAGGAAAUGGCAACCCACUCCGGUAUUCUUGCCUGGAGAGGCCUACGGAUAGAGGAGCCUGGUGGGCUGCUGUCCAUAGGGUCACACAGAGUCGGGCAUGACUGAGCAACUUCACUUUCACUUUUCACUCUCAUGCAUUGGAGAGGAAAUGGCAACCCACUCCAGUGUUCUUGCCUGGAGAAUCCCAGCCUGGUGAGCUGCUGUCUAUGGGAUCGCACAGAGUCGGACACAACUGAAGCGACUUAGGAGCAGCAGCAGCUUCUUGAAAGAUGCCCUUCAGUGCUUCAUUCCUGCUUCAACUAAGUUCUGCUGGUACUUCAGUUUCCACUUGCAAGGGCCUUUGGAAGCCUUUCCCGACCUCAAGAUUAAAGUCCUCCUCUCCCUGUACCCUAGCAGGGUAGUAGCUUGCUGUACAGCAACUGCUUGUUAACUUCUCGAUCUCCUCCAUCGCCUGAAAGCUCUUAGAGGACAGGAUUCAUGUACAGUGCAUUGUAUUCCCAGGAGUUAGGAGGGUCUAAUCCUUAUUAGCUACGUACAAAACAUCUGUUGAACAAACGGUUGCAAAUGAAUAGUAACUUAAAGAAAGGCUACAUUUCUGAGGUAAUGCUAAUUGCUUGUAGGAUAGUUAAAUGUCAGUAUUGAAACCUAAUCUUUAGCUGCUGUCUUGCAGAUAAAACGGAUGUUCACCAAGUAUGUAUUUUGUAUUUUGUUGCACUGUACACCCCAACUAGUAAGCCGAGGAAUCGACAUGUGUUAGAUAAUUGUACUGUUUCUAAAAACCACAAACUGAGAAUGAUAAAUAAUCAAUUCAGUUUAGUAUUUACUAAUUAAAAAAAAAAAGUAUUUACUAAUUUUACCACACUCUUUUGUUAUGUAAUGUAGGGGAGUCAUAGGGAUUAUGCAUUCUAUUUGAGUAAACUUUAAAACCAAAUAUUUUAUGGUAAAGAGCUUUUAAGGUAGCCAAAGCACUGAUAUGAUAUAUCUGCUGUAAAGAGAACUGCAAGAGUUUUAUUUAUAUUUCUGAUGUUAAAAGUUACUUAAUAAAGACUUGUUUCC